RNAcentral lists this ribosomal RNA (497 nucleotides) under uncultured bacterium. RNAcentral's name for it is "partial 16S ribosomal RNA". It matches the Rfam family "Bacterial small subunit ribosomal RNA", at positions 28 to 507 of the family's 1533-position model. The record is from RNAcentral.
GAUGAACGCUGGCGGCGUGCCUAAUACAUGCAAGUCGAGCGAACAGACGAGGAGCUUGCUCCUCUGACGUUAGCGGCGGACGGGUGAGUAAAACGUGGAUAACCUACCUAUAAGACUGGAAUAACUUCGGGAAACCGGAGCUAAUACCGGAUAAUAUAUUGAACCGCAUGGUUCAAUAGUGAAAGACGGUUUUGCUGUCACUUAUAGAUGGAUCCGCGCCGCAUUAGCUAGUUGGUAAGGUAACGUCUUACCAAGGCAACGAUGCGUAACCGACCUGAGAGGCUGAUCGCCCACCUUGGAACUGAGACACGGCCCAGCCGCCUACGGAAGGCAGCAGUAGGCAAUCUUCGGCAAUGGGCGAAAGCCUGACGGAGCAGCGCCGCGUGAGUGAUAAAGGUCUUCGGAUCGUAAAACUCUGUUAUUAGGGAAGAACAAGUGGGUAAGUAACUAUGCACGUCUUGACGGUACCUAAUCAGAAAGCCACGGCUAACUACGUG